GUUUAUUUGAUAGUACCUUACUACUUGGAUAACCGUGGUAAUUCUAGAGCUAAUACAUGCUAAAAACCCCAACUUCGGGAGGGGUGUAUUUAUUAGAUAAAAAACCAAUGCCCUUCGGGGCUCUUUGGUGAUUCAUGAUAACUUCUCAGAUCGCAUGGCCUUGCGCCGGCGACGGUUCAUUCAAAUUUCUGCCCUAUCAACUUUCGAUGGUAAGGUAUUGGCUUACCAUGGUUUCAACGGGUAACGGGGAAUUAGGGUUCGAUUCCGGAGAGGGAGCCUGAGAAACGGCUACCACAUCCAAGGAAGGCAGCAGGCGCGCAAAUUACCCAAUCCCGACACGGGGAGGUAGUGACAAUAAAUACUGAUACAGGGCUCUUUUGGGUCUUGUAAUUGGAAUGAGUACAAUUUAAACCUCUUAACGAGGAACAAUUGGAGGGCAAGUCUGGUGCCAGCAGCCGCGGUAAUUCCAGCUCCAAUAGCGUAUAUUAAAGUUGUUGCAGUUAAAAAGCUCGUAGUUGAACCUUUGGCCUGGCUGGCAGGUCCGCCUCACCGCGUGCACUUGACCGGCCGGGCCUUCUUUUCUGGAGAACCGCAUGCCCUUCACUGGGUGUGUUGGGGACCAGGACUUUUACUUUGAAAAAAUUAGAGUGUUCAAAGCAGGCCUUUGCUCGAAUACGUUAGCAUGGAAUAAUAGAAUAGGACGUGCGGUCCUAUUUUGUUGGUUUCUAGGACCGCCGUAAUGAUUAAUAGGGACAGUCGGGGGCAUCAGUAUUCAAUUGUCAGAGGUGAAAUUCUUGGAUUUAUUGAAGACUAACUACUGCGAAAGCAUUUGCCAAGGAUGUUUUCAUUAAUCAGUGAACGAAAGUUAGGGGAUCGAAGACGAUCAGAUACCGUCGUAGUCUUAACCAUAAACUAUGCCGACUAGGGAUCGGGCGGUGUUUCUAUUUUGACUCGCUCGGCACCUUACGAGAAAUCAAAGUG
Molecule: ribosomal RNA, 981 nt
Filed under: Neobambusicola magnoliae
Lineage: Eukaryota; Fungi; Ascomycota; Dothideomycetes; Pleosporales; Bambusicolaceae
Description: SSU rRNA
Rfam family: Eukaryotic small subunit ribosomal RNA
Source: RNAcentral